Molecule: long non-coding RNA, 265 nt
Organism: Neopsephotus bourkii (Bourke's parrot)
Lineage: Eukaryota; Metazoa; Chordata; Aves; Psittaciformes; Psittacidae
Exons: 3
Source: RefSeq, a predicted model, not a curated record
UUGUGGGAAAGCCAGAAUUCCUUUAAGUCCACCAGGAACAAGAAAUUACAUGCUGAAGGUCAGAGACACAACUUCCUGCAGCCAUAAGAGUAAUAAUAGUUGCUGCUAUUUACACCAUAUUUUGCUGGCCUGCUUAAGUCAGAUCCUACUCCAGAAAUGUUAGCCCGCCUUGGUUUUAUGAGUAAUAAAGAAAGGCUGGUCAGGGCCUGUCAGAAUCUUCAUGACUUAGUGUACAUCUAUGUCUCUUCCAUCAACGCAAUCUUCC